AAAAAAUAAAAAAAUACACCCGUAAACACACUAUACAGAUAGAGGAAUCGUUCGGUCAAUUUCUUUAUAUCUUUGAAUUGCCAUUGUGGAAUUGGUUUUCCUCAGACUUUGAAAUUUUCCUUGUC
Long non-coding RNA from Ipomoea nil (Japanese morning glory), 125 nucleotides. RefSeq lists it as uncharacterized. The record is from RefSeq and is a predicted model, not a curated record. NCBI's taxonomy places the organism in Eukaryota, Viridiplantae, Streptophyta, Magnoliopsida, Solanales, Convolvulaceae. The transcript is spliced from 3 exons.